This 398-nucleotide unclassified non-coding RNA is filed under the name fungal sp. RNAcentral describes it as "partial internal transcribed spacer region". The record is from RNAcentral. Lineage: Eukaryota; Fungi.
AAGUCGUAAGGUUUCCGUAGGUGAACCUGCGGAAGGAUCAUUAACACGUAUCCAACGUUAAAACAACCCUGUGAACCUUCAGCCUGCUCGCGUUCGAUAGCGCCACCCUUACACAAUCAAUGACUCUUUCAGACAAUUGCUUGGGGGUGCCGAGUCGAUUUGACUACCGAUACGAGAGUAACUGUAACUUCUCAUCGGCAGAGGUCCCUGACUCAAAAGCUGGUUCACAAUGAUUUCAGGGAUUGUGCUUUCAUGGGCUACGCAUCGUUGGAGGCCGACACGGCCGACGACCGGGUCCCUGGGUCACCAUGCCCCUUACUAACCACACUGUAAAUAAGUUGGGCCUGCGUUAGUCGCGGUCAAAAAAAAAACGAACAACUGUAACAAUGGAUAUCUUG